UAAGUACGGAAGUUCCUGAUUGCACGCUGUCAAGAAAAGCCUCUAGGAAGAGUAGUACUGCCCGUACCGCAAACCGACACAGAUAGAUGAGGAGAGAAUCCUAAUGUGAGCGAGAGAACUCUCGUUAAGUCACUCGGCAAAAUGACCCCGUAACUUCGGGAGAAGGGGUGCUCUAUUAGGGUGCAAGCCCGAGAGAGCCGCAGUGAAUAGGCCCAGGCGACUGUUUAGCAAAAACACAGGUCUCUGCAAAACCGUAAGGUGACGUAUAGGGGCUGACGCCUGCCCGGUGCUGGAAGGUUAAGAGGAGUGCUUAGCUUCGGCGAAGGUACGAAUUGAAGCCCCAGUAAACGGCGGCCGUAACUAUAACGGUCCUAAGGUAGCGAAAUUCCUUGUCGGGUAAGUUCCGACCCGCACGAAAGGCGCAACGAUCUGGGCACUGUCUCAACGAGAGACUCGGUGAAAUUAUAGUACCUGUGAAGAUGCAGGUUACCCGCGACAGGACGGAAAGACCCCGUGGAGCUUUACUGCAACCUGAUAUGGAAUGUUUGUACCGCUUGUACAGGAUAGGUAGGAGCCGAAGAGACGUGUGCGCUAGCAUACGAGGAGGCAAUGGUGGGAUACUACCCUGGCUGUAUG
Molecule: ribosomal RNA, 636 nt
Filed under: Klebsiella pneumoniae
Lineage: Bacteria; Pseudomonadati; Pseudomonadota; Gammaproteobacteria; Enterobacterales; Enterobacteriaceae
Description: partial 23S ribosomal RNA
Rfam family: Bacterial large subunit ribosomal RNA
Source: RNAcentral